CCAGGAGUGUGCAUUUGUAAUAGUUAUUGACAUACUGAUGUUUAUGAUAAUAAGCUUGGGAUAUAAUAAGACUCCACCUGCUGAAUGACAGCUCAUGUAAAAGCUUCUUCAUUGAAAAGAAAUAAUCAACACAACUGCGAUUGUCCAGUCAAUAUGAUCAUUCUACUCCUCAGCAUCUAUCCUAACAUCCUAGUUUCGGGUUCCUCUUUCAGUGAUCAAGUUCACCAGACUCCAGCAAACAUUUACACAAAAGGAGAAGAUGCUAAAAUCUACUGCUCACACAGUAUUUCAGGCUAUUACCAAAUCCUCUGGUACAAGCAGUCAGAAGAACAGCUACAGUUUCUCGGAUACAUGCUUUAUAGCGAGGGUAAUCCAGAACCAGGAGUGAAUGUGACGAUGGACGGGGAUGCAAAUCAAAAAGAAAACUGCACAUUAACAAUUAAAGAUCUCAAAGUGAGCAGCAGUGGAGUGUACUUCUGUGCUGCUAGUUACCACAGUGGUGCACAUCACUGCACCUCAAUACAAAAACCUAUCAAACACAUUUUUUAUAUCUGCAUUGAAGCUCACAGCCUCACACACCUGGAACCAGCCAUUAUAACCAAUGUUGGUCUCACAAAUAUCAGAUAUUAUAAUAGAAGAUUCCUCAUGAGCUGCAAAGCAACAUUUAAGCUGUCAUAUCCUGUUAUUAAAAACAAUGACACAACCUCCCCACAUGUAUCACUUUCACCUUACUGUAACUUAAAAUGUUUUUAACAUCUUUAAAAAAUCUCUUUUUUUUCCUAUUAUCAUCUAAUACAGUCCAAUGAGUGAUAAGAUAAUUCUCUCAAUGAACUCUGUUGAAAGUGUUAUGGUAGUUUACAAUUAAGGUUUUUGUGAAAUGAAAUUGUGUUAUUACUUUUGUUCAUUAAUUUGCUGGUUAUAUUGUAUGGCUGAAUAAAUAUUGGCUCAGUGCUGGACUUUUAAUGACCUCACACUGCUAACCAGCUUCAACAAAUAGGUAGAUACCAGCACAGAUUAAGAUGGAAACACAAAAGCAAGCACACUUAUGUUCAUUCAGUCAGAAAACACAACAUCAUGAUUGUUUUCUGGCCUGCUCACACCCCCAUGAACCUUUAACAUUUCCUCUCAUAAGGUGGCAGCAUAUAUCCUUGCUCAAAAUUCUAUACCUAUCAAAGAUGUGCAUUUGUAAUAGCUUUUGACACAGUGAUGUUUAUGAUAAUAAGCUUAAGAUAUAAUGAGACUCCACCUGCUGAAUGACAGUUUGCUCAUGAGAAAGUUUCUUCAUUGAAUAGAAAUAAUCGACACAACUGAGAUCAUCAUGAUCAUUCUACUCCUCAGCAUCUAUGCUAACAUCCUAGUUUCAGCAGCUUCCUCUUUCAGUGAUCAAGUCGACCAGACUCCUGCUAACAUUUACACAAAUGAAGAAGAAGCUAAAAUCCACUGCUCACACAAUGUUCAAAGCUUUUACCAGAUCCUCUGGUAUCAGCAGUCAAAGAAACAACUACCGUAUCUUGGAUACAUGUACUUAGGCAAAAGUUCUGUAGAAUCUGUAGGAUCUCAAACUGAGCAGCAGUGGAGUGUACUUCUGUGCUGCGAGCUCCCACAGUGCUGCAGAUCAUUCAACCUCAGUACAAAUACCUCCCAGAUGCAUUUAAAAAAAUUAUUUCUAUUAAAAGCUCACAACCCCUCACACCUGGAAUCAGCCAUUAAAACCAAUGUUGGUCUCACAAAGAUCAGAUAUGGGAAAAGUUUCAUUUCGAGCCCCAGUGCAACAUUUAAACUGGUUGUUAUAAAGAGCAACCUCCAACAUUAAAAACGUCUGACAUACCCAAAAUUUACCAUGAACUAAAUCUCAACUAACAAUCUCAUGUGUUUCAGUUUGGAAUAUAAAUGUGUGUCAAUGUUGCGUUGUGAUGUGUCGUAUCGUGUCAUGUUGUGUUAUAUGUAGUGCCGAUA
This is a long non-coding RNA of Oreochromis niloticus (Nile tilapia), 1956 nucleotides long. RefSeq lists it as uncharacterized. Lineage: Eukaryota; Metazoa; Chordata; Actinopteri; Cichliformes; Cichlidae. The transcript is spliced from 3 exons. The record is from RefSeq and is a predicted model, not a curated record.